This 449-nucleotide ribosomal RNA is filed under the name Trichocladium asperum. RNAcentral describes it as "eukaryotic LSU rRNA". The stretch from base 119 to 272 matches the Rfam family "5.8S ribosomal RNA". Lineage: Eukaryota; Fungi; Ascomycota; Sordariomycetes; Sordariales; Chaetomiaceae. The record is from RNAcentral.
GGCGGCGCAGGUGGCUCCGGGACGCACGGGGCCCCCGGCCCUACUCGGGCGCCCGCCGGAGGUAUCUAACUCUUGACAAUUGUAUGGCCUCUCUGAGUCUUUGUACUUAAUAAGUCAAAACUUUCAACAACGGAUCUCUUGGUUCUGGCAUCGAUGAAGAACGCAGCGAAAUGCGAUAAGUAAUGUGAAUUGCAGAAUUCAGUGAAUCAUCGAAUCUUUGAACGCACAUUGCGCCCGCCAGUAUUCUGGCGGGCAUGCCUGUUCGAGCGUCAUUUCAACCAUCAAGCCCCCGGCUUGUGUUGGGGACCUGCGGCUGCCGCAGGCCCUGAAAACCAGUGGCGGGCUCGCUAGUCACUCCGAGCGUAGUAAUACAUCUCGCUCAGGGCGUGCUGCGGGUUCCGGCCGUUAAAAAGCCUUAUUUACCCAAGGUUGACCUCGGAUCAGGUAUG